This 470-nucleotide ribosomal RNA is filed under the name Taenia hydatigena. Its description in RNAcentral is "partial 12S ribosomal RNA". Lineage: Eukaryota; Metazoa; Platyhelminthes; Cestoda; Cyclophyllidea; Taeniidae. The record is from RNAcentral.
GCACAGUGCCAGCAUUUGCGGUUAGUCUGUUUUCUUUGCUUUUUUAUAGACUGGAUUUAUAUAUUUAUAACUAAAAUUAGGUUAAAUUUUUUUUUUACAGAGUUAAAUAUUUAGAUUGAUGAAAGAUGUAUAAUAGUGACAGGGAUUAGAUACCCCAUUAAUGUACAUUGUAGCUUUGUCUUAGUUAAUAUAACUAAAAUAAUUUGGCAGUGAGCGACUCUUUUUAGGGGAAGGUGUGGUGUAAAGGAUGUUCCGCCUAAUAAUUUACUUUCGUUAUGUUGGUGUAUAUCUGGUUUAAUAUUAUCGUUGAGUAAGUGAGUUUGUGUAGUUUUAUUUAAGCCAAGUCUAUGUGCUGCUUAUGAAAGUAUUCAUGCGUUACAUUUAUAAGGUUUUGGUUGUAAUACUAAAAUAUUUAGGACUUAAAAGUAAUGUUCAAUAAGUUUGUGAGUGUGAAGUAAGUUUAGCUCAUG